GACUGCAGAACAGACAAACGCCGAAUCAGCUCAAAUCAGGUAAUGGGAACGAUUAUCCUUCUUGAAAUGAUAAGCUCAAUCUCAAACAGUAUAAUAACCACACAAAAACGGAAUGAAAAAAAUUUGAAAAUUCAAAAGCACUCAACUUAUCUAUUCGAUCUGAGCAGAGGAUUGGGAACUUCCCAAAUCUAUACUCCCACGAAUCCAUCUUGGGGAAAAUUUAUAUUGCACUCUUUGCAUUCAAACACCAAAUUUAAUGCCACCAAAAAAAUUCAAAUGAAAACACAAUAAAAAUUCGAAUGCAAACGCAAAACCCAAUAAAGUCAAGCAUAACAACAUCAAGAAUAUACCUGAGAAACUAACAAAUUGGAUCCCGCCCAAAAUCAACCAAACUCAACCAGGCACAUGUUAACAAAUCCUCCAUAGAUCAAAGGCCAAAGCGGCUUGAACUCUAUUUGAAUCACAUAACACAGUUAUGGGAACAAAUUAAACCCUGGACAAAGAGCAAUAUCAGAAUCUAGAAACAGAUCCAAAAAUAAAAAGCAUACAAAACAUGCACAAACCCAAAUACUAUUCUCUCUUUCCAUACCCAAAUACUAUUCUCUCUUUCACUUUAUCAAUGCUAGUCUCGCUUUGAAUUUUUUGCUAGUCUCAUUGACUCACGUUAUUGCUCGGUACAAAUCAUAUUCAGAUUAUAGAAAUAACCCAAUAGCACAAAGUGGAGAACUGUAAAGUACUCACCAGAGCUUGUAGCAGUUGGAAAAUAUGCAUACAUGAUUUUCAAUGGGAACUGUGGCCAUAUGUAUAUAAUAUUUGAGCAGAAACUAUCUCAUCGGCACUUCAUGUCAUCUGACCGUCAAUCUAGACCGUUAAAAAACUAGGGUCGACAACAAAACAUACCGGAUAAUAAAAUGAGUGAUAAUUAAGAGAAAGGUUUACUUACUUUUUCACUAAAAAUUGGCCCAUCCAAGUCUCCCGUCUACCACACUUAUGCAAUGGCACUCCUCUAUAUUUUGAGCCGCCUCUAAGAACCCGGUACUUUGUCUGCAAAGCAGACAAAGUACGUGCACACAUUCCUCCUCUGGUAAAUUGCUCAUCAGUUCAGCAACAUAUUACAAAAGAAUAUAAUCAAUUUUCCCCAUAUCCACAAAAUCACAAAAAAAAAAAUUAAUAAAUAAAUAAAUAAUUGAAUAGCUGGUGUUGAAUAUAAGUUAUAAAACUGUUCACAGAAAACCACUAUCGAAAAAAAACUCAGCUUUCUUAAGGCAAGAAUUGAAGAACUCAAGCCAGUACUCACUUGUUUCAAGUCAUCUUCAUAGUCUUCAAUGUCAUCAUUUAUGUCGGCCUCUACUCCCCUAAACUUGAUUGCAGCUCUGUCAUACACUGCAGAAAAUAAUUUAUAAUAAGUAACUAACUAAUCAUUAAAAUUUCUACAUGUUCUUGGCUCACAUUUUCUUGGAGAAAUUUUUUGUUUGUUUCCCCAGAAAAUAUAAGAUUUUUUAUGGCAAGCAAAAUAGUACUCACCAAGGAGCUGCAUGUGCUGUGUCAAAUCAACCUAUAGGUGUCCAAAACAGAAUAAAAAAUGAUAAUAAAAAAAAAAACCCAAAAGAACGCCUAGAAUACUCAAUGCUAACAGGGUAACCUCCUUCUAUAUUGGUAAACUUAAACUACAUGCUGUUAGUAAUAGAUGCAAAAUUGAAUCAAAAAACCCAUGACAGAACAAAACCACUAAUUUUGCAGUAGGGGAAAUCUUUACUUACCUGAACAAUUUGCUCAUUUGUUUUCGGAUGAGUAUUAAAAGAGCUAAACACACUACUUAAAUUCAACCAAUCAACCAAAUCAAAACCUUACUUUUUCAGAUCUGAUCAGAUAUUCCAAUACGAUAAGCAAAUCAAAUUCCACAAUCCACUUCCUAGGGUUCCUAAAAGAAAAAAAGAAUAAAGCUGUGAUUAGAUCGGCUAAUAGAUUAAGACAUCAAUAUGAAAUUGUAAAGAGAGGACAUUGGUACUGCAUAAGAAUCGGUUUAGCAAAUAAGCCUCAGACCACGCUAAAAAAAAAAAACACAAAAACCUAAACAUGUAAAGAGUUCGAAACCUGAGAAAUCCUGUUGCAAGACUGAACUGUCACUUUACUACUAAACAACACAUGCAAGUAAAAGAGGCCGAAUAAUCUAUAGGCAAAUCCUGGUUCCAAAACCUUCUGCAAUCUCGAUGAACCAAUCGGUUCCCCAACUAUCGAGUAAUGAUCAGUAUUCAACCAAGUUCUUCCAUGUAGUUGAGUCAAUUAAGCUAUAAAAAGGAACAAAAACUAUACAAAAAUCAGAUCUCAGUUAUCAACAAAAAAACCAUAUAAGAUAAAAGCAAAAAGAACAAAAACCAGAAACUCAACAAAAACACCCUUAUACCUGGAGGAAGUAGGAAAGCUGGCAAAAUCGAUUAGAAAACCUGCAGACAUGAACGCAAUUUAAAAGUAAAAUCCUAGCAAUUAGACAAAAUUAAACAAAGAAAAGCAAAUAUACAGAACCACUUACCCAGAUUUCUCUUCUCCUGUCUCAACCCAAAAAAUAUUAACGAAGACUCCAUUCUCUUCCUCGCAGCAAGCCUGAAACCGCCAUGUUCGGCCUCUUACAGAGAAGAUUUUUUUUACGAACCUCUGCAUGUAAUUAAUGUCAUUUGUAUCAAAAUACCAAUUAUACUAAUUCAAAAUCAGAAACGAAAAUUCAUUCAUUGAUCACAGUUUUUCACAGAAAUAAACUCUUAUCUCUAUAAAGGAGAAGUCUUUUUAUACACAGUAUGUUUUUGUACAUUAAUUGUUUACAUAGAAGACUAAACCCACAUGCACCUAGAAAAGGUAGCAAAACACCUAUACAAAAUCUGGAAUCAACUAAUACAAACAAUUUUGGUAAAAUCUUUUUUUCAUUUUUACAAAAAAAUAAAUUAAAACAGAUGUCCCCAAAGAUUCCCACCUAAAUGAAUAAUAUAUAGAACUGUCUGAGAUCUUGAAUGUAGAAGAAGUAGUAGAUACAUAACCUCAACACGUUCAAAACUUCAAGAAAACUACAUAAACAGAAAAACCAAAUUCUUUGUUUUCGAGCAGGAACUUUGAAACUGAACAACAAAUAAUCACAGAUGAAUCACAAAGCUAGUUUUGUUACAAUAAUAAUAGCCCAAAAAAUUUAAAGAUAUUAGUUUUAUAUCAAAAUUAGCUUGAGCAUGUUUUAAAAGUAUACACAUGAAACAACCUAUUUCAGUAAUUAACGUUACUCAUACUAAGAAGUUUAAAUUGGCCAUACACAUAAAAUACAUGAGAACAGUAGAAGAAUACCUGCUAAAUAAUUUGGCUUCAAAGGACAAAGGUUUCCCAGUUAGCACCAACCUGCAAUUAUACACAGAAAAUAGCACUCUUCGCUAAAUAGCAUGAAUAUGAACUCAAUUGUCAAUCACGUUCAUUCACACAACACAGAAUUACAGGGAAUUCGUCAACCAUAUGAAGGCUUUAACUAAUACACCUAAGAGGAUCGGGGCUUCUUCUUUUGGCAAGCCUAAGAGGAAUAAACCAUCUGAUGACAUACACAAAAUCCGAAAUACUGGUUCUCAGUUAAUAGUUGAAUCCAAAUAAUACAUUAAACAGUAGAAAACUAAAGUGGACAAAUCAAACUGCAAUAGUACAAUAGGCCAAAGAGAAAUCAACUCCAAAGAUGAACAAAAUCAGAACACCAACUUUAAAGCAAAAAACUAAAAAGGAAAUUGAAAGGUUUACCAAGAGCUCAAAAGCAGACCAAUUAACUAAUAGAAUAUCGUCCCUUGUCCUCUUCCCCACAGCCUCAAUAAAUAAUACUGUAACAACCAUAAGAAAAAACGAAAACAACUUGAGAACCCAGAAUAAAAACCCAUAAAUCAAAUUCAAACCAAACAGAACCCAAAAAAAAACAUUGAACAGCGAAUUGGCACUGAAAUCGUUCCUGCUGGACCAAAUACACCAUUUAGUCCUGAAAUAAGAAGAAUUAAUUAGUAUUGAGAUAUAUCGCAAUGCAAAUACAGAUUUUUAUUUAAUGUAUUUUUUUUUUAUUUUUUUUUUUUAAAUGAUCUUCAAUGACAGCGUUGUUCUCCAGAUAACUGAAGAAGUUCUACAAAAGAAGUUGAUGGAGAGAAUAGNNNNNNNNNNNNNNNNNNNNNNNNNNNNNNNNNNNNNNNNNNNNNNNNNNNNNNNNNNNNNNNNNNNNNNNNNNNNNNNNNNNNNNNNNNNNNNNNNNNNNNNNNNNNNNNNNNNNNNNNNNNNNNNNNNNNNNNNNNNNNNNNNNNNNNNNNNNNNNNNNNNNNNNNNNNNNNNNNNNNNNNNNNNNNNNNNNNNNNNNNNNNNNNNNNNNNNNNNNNNNNNNNNNNNNNNNNNNNNNNNNNNNNNNNNNNNNNNNNNNNNNNNNNNNNNNNNNNNNNNNNNNNNNNNNNNNNNNNNNNNNNNNNNNNNNNNNNNNNNNNNNNNNNNNNNNNNNNNNNNNNNNNNNNNNNNNNNNNNNNNNNNNNNNNNNNNNNNNNNNNNNNNNNNNNNNNNNNNNNNNNNNNNNNNNNNNNNNNNNNNNNNNNNNNNNNNNNNNNNNNNNNNNNNNNNNNNNNNNNNNNNNNNNNNNNNNNNNNNNNNNNNNNNNNNNNNNNNNNNNNNNNNNNNNNNNNNNNNNNNNNNNNNNNNNNNNNNNNNNNNNNNNNNNNNNNNNNNNNNNNNNNNNNNNNNNNNNNNNNNNNNNNNNNNNNNNNNNNNNNNNNNNNNNNNNNNNNNNNNNNNNNNNNNNNNNNNNNNNNNNNNNNNNNNNNNNNNNNNNNNNNNNNNNNNNNNNNNNNNNNNNNNNNNNNNNNNNNNNNNNNNNNNNNNNNNNNNNNNNNNNNNNNNNNNNNNNNNNNNNNNNNNNNNNNNNNNNNNNNNNNNNNNNNNNNNNNNNNNNNNNNNNNNNNNNNNNNNNNNNNNNNNNNNNNNNNNNNNNNNNNNNNNNNNNNNNNNNNNNNNNNNNNNNNNNNNNNNNNNNNNAACCCAGUAUAUUAGCAGUAAUUGAGGGAAUGAAGACAUGGUAACUGGAUAUUCAACCACCGAAAUGUUAUAAAUAUUCUAAGAGACUACAGAAGACCUCAACGAAACUCAAAGGCAGAUUUUGCGUCNCAAAAAAAANAAAAAAAAAAAAACAAGUUGCAGAUAUCAAAUAUGACACAAUCAGAACGAAUAAAAAACACUGCAAAACAGAGCAAAAACCGUACUCUUAACUAGGCAUCUUCAGUCCACAAUUUCUUUUAAAUAUUGUGUUCUCUGGUAUCCACAAUGUAGAAUCCCCGGGAAACUUAUCCUAUCAUACUUGUCUUGAUAAUAAAUGGAUUAAACCUAUUUAAACUAAUCCACAGUGGUAUGUUCUGAACAAAAUUUCGAAUGUGCUUACACAUCCAUCGGAUGUUCAAAUUUCGUGAACGCUCUGUCGUCGUGAUACAUCGGUUGAAGCUACUGAGGCUGUUUCUGCAUUUUGGUUAGCCCUUGCCAAAGUCUCCAAAUGGAAUUCCUGCAUCAGAGCAAUAUGACAGCUCAGAACUAUUGAACAUGAAAAACAAUCUUGAAUUUGCUUCGCUUUACCUGAAAUGCAGGUGGCUGUGGGAUACUUCUUGACAUUGCAGGUAAUGAAGGUGCUUCAAGAAUCUGUAACGACCAAAAGUCCAGUGAAUCAACGGAUAUAGAUCAUGAAUGAAAGUUGAGAUCAGGCCAUAACUUGAAUAUUACAAAAGUGACGAGCCUUAAACUUUGGAAUUUUGGCCAUCAUCUCUUCUUCCAGCUCAGCAGUACUCUUCACUAACUGAGCGCACACGCUGUGAUGUCUCAAAUUCUGGCUCCUUUGGUCUUGUUAAGGUGAGUUUAGGCUUCAUCUGAAUAAUAGAAACAACAUCAACCUCUAUUGCUAAAAUAUAUAUAUAUAUAUAUAUAUAUAUUUAUAUAUAUAUAUAUUAAACCUGACCAACUAAAUAUAUAUAAAAAAAGUGUAAAGAAGUGAAAGAACUUUAAGCAGGGUGAAGCUCCUUUACGUGUGAAAGAGAACCAUUAGCAUGCGGCAGCGACAAGUCUCUGGUACUUGAUUGGAACCUGUUCAUCAUUUCUGCCAUUGAAACAAAUGGUGCUGCAGGUUCCCAAACAUAAAUCUGUAGAUUGGGAAAGGAUCAACUACUCAAUUCUAAUAUUUCAUAACAACAUGGAGUGCAAAAGAGGGAUGAAAAGCACAAACCGUCCUGUCCUCUUUUUGAGUUUUAAUAGCAGUUGAAAAAUGUGUGGCACUGGUAUGACCCAGUUUUCACUUGUGGAGCAAUGUUUGGGGUUUGGGAUUAAGAAUCUGCAUUUUAAGGGCACACAAGCAAAAACAGUCAUGGGAAAUGUCUAGAAAUAAUCUUCACCAAACCACAACAAAGAGGCUUCUAGAUGUGAGUCAACACAAAUUACAGAACUAAAAGUAACCUGUCUAGAUCUUCCAGCAUCCCCAACUUCUGCCGCUUAAUUGCCUAAUUCUCCUGAGCUAACAUGGAUGUGCCAGUUGCAUUUUUCACGUUCUCUUCUCUGUAAGUUUCAGUCAAGUAUACAAUUAGGACAUAGCACUGGCGUAUAAUGAAUUCAAGAGAUACCAGAUAAAGUGAAGCAUUCCAACCUUUUGAUAGUAUACUGUUUAAUUUGUGAAGCGUGCAAGUGACGUUUUCCCCUUGGCCCUGAUGGGUUUCUGACCAUACUUGAUAUCUUUUUGGCUGUCUGGUGGUUUUUGGAAUCACUUGGAAGAUCUCCGUUCUUGGAAUAAUUCAUGGGUGGCUUUGGAGUACUAGCUAUGGAAUUACUAUUCUCCUUCUCAUUAGUUAUAUCAGUUCUCUUAUUGGAAGAUACUGCGCAGCAGCCAGAACACUGCAGAGAAGAAACACAAUGAGAAACCUUGGAGCAAGAAAGAGACCUAAGAGAGCAUUAGAUCAGCAGUAAGAGGAAAACUAACCUUCCAUCAUCUUUCAUGCAUUUGUCCUCUACUUUAUCAGCAGAAAUCUGAAAGCACAGAAUAGGCAUAAUUGAACAAUACCUUUUAUUACCAAAGGCAGCCAAAUUGAAAAAAUCAAAUGCAAUCACCAAAGAAGUACCCCUUAAGCUUAACCAAUUAUGAUCUUCUCUUUCCAGCAGGGCAGCACCAACCAAAAACAUAGUAGAUUAGAGAAUCAUACCACAGAAUAGACAUAAUUGAACACUACCUUUUAUUACCAAAAGCAUUAGCAGUAAGAGGAAAUCUGUCCUCUACUUUAUCAGCAAAAAUUUUGAAAGCAAUACAUUAGUGAUAAGGGGGCCACAUGUAAUCAGGAAAAUGUGAUUUUCAGAGAGUAAAGUCAAAUUACUAUAAUGGCUUGUCUUGCACUGUUUUCAUCUUUAGCUUCCUUCAAUUCAGGAGUGAUCUUCAAGUCAGCCUUAGUUUCAUCAGCAGCUUUUAAAUCAGAGGAUGAUUCAAGGUUCUGCAAAAGUUAAGCCAUCUGAAACAAUAAGCUAAAAGGUUCUCAAAUUUCAAGGAGAUAAAAGAAAAAAUUGUACAAGAUCACACCACCUUCUGCAUAUGUUCUGCUUCAGUAAAGUCGCACAUGCUCUCUACUGUAAAGGAUCUACCAGUCUUGAUUCUAGACAUGAAAGCUGCACAAACAAAUGUGUCCAGAAAAUAAUCAAAACGUUUUCAUAUCCAAAGAACACAAGAAAUCACUUUUUGGGAUCUUUUCAAGUCUUGAUGCUCAGUUUUUUCAACAAGCAUAACCAGCAAAACCAGUCCUCACUCUUCAUUCAACAAAAUAAACCAUUAAUUCAUACCAGUACAAUGUAUAAUCCAAAGGAAACUUAUCUUAUUAAACUAAUUUAGUGGUAUGUUGUGAACAAAAUUAACAUAAAACCCCCAAUUUCGAAUGUAUGGUUACCACAUCCAUCUGAGUUGAUCAAAUUUCAUGAACUCUUUCUUUAACUCUUGCUUUAAACAAUUCCUAAACACUUGAUUACAUGAGUUUGUGAAUUAUUCAAAAGAAACCGUCACCAGAAAUUGAACUUGCAACCGCAACCUAACAAAUUUUUCACUCAAUCAAACACCACAGGCACGGGGCAAUUUCAAUUUCAAUUUCAAAAAACAGUGCAAAAUCAGCAAUUGAAACCCUAAGUUACUGCAAUUGAGGCAAUUGAAUUCAAACAAGAAAACCUAAUAUGGAAAAGAAAGUAUAAACUCCAGAUCUGGGAGAGAGAAGACGUACGGGAAGAGGCGUAGGGGCGAGCGGAGUGGAGUCGAACUGCUCGGCUUUGUUCUUGUCGGCGUCGCUCUCCUCCUUCAUAAAAUCGAAGAAUCGCGGCGCCCAGAAUUCGUAGACCUCGUCGAUCAUGGAGGUUUGCGCCUUCGUGUCCGUCAUUGCCUUUCUCCUCCGUCGUCGCCGGCAUCUCAGAAAUCGUUUUGGUCUGAAUUUAGUGAAAACUGGACAGGAAUUUCAGAGAGAGAGAGAGAGAAGAGAAUUGGGGGGAUUUAAUGGAGAGCGAGCGGGGGGUAUAACGUUUGGGGAAGGAUCUCUCUAACGGUCCUAUAUUUUGAAAUUGGGGAGUGAGUUGUUCUUUUUUUUCUUUUUUUUUGAUCAGGAAGAGAGACGACGCCGCAAGAGAGACGACCGGAAAUAUUUUGUUGCCUUUUCUAUACCCAGUCGAGGCCCAGACGACGCCGUUUCUGUAUAUCCACGUUUGUUAGUAUUUUAUUUCAGGUGAGAUUUUGGUCUAAACCUAUAUCUUAUAUAUCAUGCAUAGAUUUUUUUUUUUUUUUUGGGUUUACAAACGGACCUAAAAGGAAAGCCUGAGCAGCAUGUAUAUCUAUGGUUAUUACUAGUUUAGGCUUCAUCUGAAUAAUAGGAAAACAUCAACCUCUAUAGAAAAAAAAAUUUAUUAAACCUGACCAACUAAAUAUAUAUAUAUAUAAAAUUUAAAAAAAGUAUAAAGAACUCUAAGCAUGAUGAAGCUCAUUUACGUGUGAAAGAGAACCGUUAGCAUGCGGCAGUGACAAGUCUCUGGUACUUGAUUGGAACUUGUUCAUCAUUUCUGCCAUUGAAACAAAUGGUGAUGCGGGUUCCCGAACAUACGUCUGUAGAUUGGGAAAGUAUCAACUACUCAAUUCUGAUAUUGCGUAACUAUCUUAUACCAAAGCAAGUGAUUUUGAUUACUUAUGGUAUCAAAAUCACGACAGACAUCUAAGUUAAACAAAUUUUCAAAAAAUAUUAUAACAAUUAAUCAAAAAAAAAGUUAAAGAAUGAAAAAUUAUAAAGUAUAAUUAGCCAAAACUGACAUGUCUCAGCAAAAUCAUACCUCUCUCCUUUUAGACUCCGGCAUCAAUAAAUUUCCUUCAAAAUCAAGACCCAGUUAGUUAAAAACCAACAACAACAGAAAACAAAAUCAAAACCCACAAAAAGGACGAACCCAAUACAAGCCAAGUUAACCUUGUUACGGCCUCACACACAUAGAUCUAAAAUCCAAUUCCAAAACACAACUAAACCCAAACAACAAAUCAAAUGGUAAACCCUAUUCAAGGCCGAGAAACCCAAACCCAAACAACAUAUCAAAUGGUAAACCCUAGGGUUUUGAAGGCCGACGGCAACAAAAUCAUAUAUUGCGUUCGCACCCACCAAUUAAUCAAUUAAACCAGAGAAUCAAGAAAGACCUAACUAUUUGAUUCAAGCAAACACAAAUUCAUAAGCAAAUUGAACCAGAGAAUCAAGAAAAGACUCAAUUAUUUGAUUCAAGCAAACAUAAAUUCAAAAGCAUAUUAAACCAGAGAAUCAAGAAAAGACUCAAUUAUUUGAUUCAAGCAAACACGAAGCAACAGAGAGAGCAAGAGUCUNNNNNNNNNNNNNNNNNNNNNNNNNNNNNNNNNNNNNNNNNNNNNNNNNNNNNNNNNNNNNNNNNNNNNNGAUCAGACGUGACAAAUUGACGAUCCGAUUGACGGGGUUGACGGGCCUCUCCUCCAUUUUUUUUUGGGUCCCCAUUUUGGCUUUUCAAGUAAGAGUCUGUGUCUUUUCAACAAAUAUAAAAGUCAAAAGUCACCUGCAGAAGCAGUUGAACUAAACUUUGUCAUUGUGGAGUCAACAACCGGUGCCACCAAAUAAAACUUCCAUCUCCACCCCAAGCAAGCAAGUCCNCUUUAUAUAUAUAUAUAUAUAUAUAUAUAUAUAUACACACCACCCGCGCGUUGCUGCGAGUUAGGAUUUCUUGAUGAUGAACAAUAUUCAAUCCCACCUCACGUCUCCCAUGCCACCACCUUUUCCAAAUCCACCGCCGAUUCCCCCGCCUUCCCCUAUUUUUCAACAAACACAUCCAUCUUUCUCAAACCCACCACCAACAUCAGGGCCUCCAUGCCUGCAAAUCCACCGCUCACCUUCAAUUCUACCACCUCCUAUUCCGCCACCUGCACAAAAUCCACAAUUAACUCCAUAGACUCUACCAUCCUUUUUUUAAUUCCACCACCAUACCAUGGCCUUCUCUUUACCAAAACUCACCACAGACACCUCUGACCCCAUGCCCACAACCAAGUAAAAAAUGGAAAAUGACAUGAAGAAGUAACAAAAUUUUCAACAAAACAAACUUUUUUUUGAUAAGAACAAUGGCACAUUUGUAAAUAAAUUUGGGUAGCACCGUCUUUUUGGUCAAUAUAAUGGAAGAUUCGUAAAUAAAUUGUAUUAAAUGGCAGCAUUCUGUCAUUUCACCAGAGAAAGUACAGUGUUAGUUGCCUAAUGUUAUAGUAUAUAGAACUAGAUUUUUUUGCCCGCGCGUUGCUUAGGGCCAGUCCUGAAGGAUUGAAGACUCGGUGCGAAUAAAAAGUUGGGGGCCCCUUAUCUCAAUUUUUUCUAGAUCGGUAUAUGAAAUUUGAAACAACAAUAUGAGAAAGAUAUUGCUACAUGAUAGGUUAAUUAGUAUUGUAAGGUGAAUUAGUAUAGAUUAGAUGACACACUUCUUAAAAUUUAAUUCGAUGAAUAUUUCCAAUCUUUUUCUUAAACAAGAUGAAUUUUGUUAUUCUUAAUACUUUACUACUUCUCAUAAUAACAUUUGUAGUUUUUUUAAAUAGAACACUAGUAAUUUACUCCAAUACAAAGUAUUUAAGAAAAUAAAUAUGAUGAAUUUCUGAAACAGUGUUGGAAAAAAAAUUCUGAAACAAGCAAUUGAAAAUAAAUAUAAAACAUGAUAUUUAAGUAAUAAAUAUUAGCAUAUGAAAAAAGUAAAUGAAUCGAUAUGCAAUAGGAUGGUCGUUGUGUUGUUUGUGUUCCAUUUAAACCACCAGAGUUCGAAUCACAUAUAAAAGACGCAUAUGUUACUAUGUUGAUUGUAGUUGCAUAUGUUAUAAUGUCAGUGGAGCUAUUACAAAAACUGUAAUAGAUAACAGUCUUGUGUACGUAGAGUUGAUCUAGUCUUGGCACAUCUGAAUUCGCCUUGCAUCCUUUCUACAGAGCCAAUCAAACAAAAACAUAGAUUAUUACUUAUGUAACUUAGCAAUAUAUUAGCGAAAAUAAGAACAAAAAUAAGUAAUGUAGAAAUGACCACUUAGUUAUAUUUGUGACUACAUGAUAUCCUCAAUUCCUUCUCAUUCUUAACCAAAAAGAACAAAACUUCAAGUUAAUGCAGCUAAUGUCUUACAUCAACAUUUACAAUAUAAUUCACAUAGUUGAAUUAGACUCUUUUCCUUGCAGAGACACCCUUCAUACAUUUUUACACAACAUCCAAAAAAAAUAGAACUUUGUGUGAUACCAAUAUUUUUGAAGGCAUGCAUGAUACUUACUACCAUAAGAUAAUUCCUUUCUUAAAAUAUUUGAGAUUUUCAGGUAAAAUGCAUUAAUCUGCCUAAUUUAUAACACUGAUUUCUUUCCAUAUUUCCCUUAAUUUUUUAGAAGAUAACAGUUCUGCGCCUAAACUAUUUCCUUGUCCAAAGACUUCUUUUGCAUUUGAUAUCCAUACACUUGACAAUAUCUGUAACUUUAUUUGAGUAUAUAUUGCAUGUAAACUAUAACUUUACCAACUGCUAAGAAAUGAAAGUCAAAUCAGCAAGCUAUAUACUGGAAUUUGGUGCAAUCAAUCAUUGAGGUCCUAGACUGCAGAAUAGACAAAGGCCGAAUCAGCUCAAAUCAGGUAAUGGGAACGAUUAUCCUUCCUGGAAGGAUAAGCUAAAUAUCAAACAGUAUAAAAACCACAAAAAAACGGAAUGAAAAAAUUUGAAAAUUCAAAAGCACUCAACUUAUCUAUUUGAUCUGAGCAUUGGAUUGGGAACAUCCCAAAUCUAUAGUCCCACGAAUCCAUCUUGGGGAAAAUUUAUAUUGCACUCUUUGCAUUCAAACACCAAAUUUCAUGCCACAAAAAAAAAUUCAAAUGAAAACACAAUAAAAAUUCAAAUUCAAACACAAAAGCCAAUAAAGUGAAGCAUAACAACAUCAAGAAUAUACAUGAGAAACUGACAAAUUGGAUCCCACCCAAAAUCAACCACACUCGACCAGGCACAUGUUAACAAAUCCUCCAUAGAUUUUUACUCAAAGAUAUCUCAUCGGCUCAACACCGAAAUUGAAAAAAAUAUAUGGAUAGAACCAAAAGAAUAGGAUAAGAAAUAUUGAGACAUUAGAGCUGCUCAAAAUAUGGACAAAUAAGAACAAAAUGGUAUUCAAUGGCGGGAUAUUUUUCUUUUUACCAAGAUCAAAGGCCAAAGCGGCUUGAACUCAAUUUGAAUCACAUAACACAGUUAUGGGAACAAAUUAAACCCUGUACAAAGAGCAAUAUCAGAAUCUCGAAACAUAUCAAAUAUAAAAAAGCAUACAAAACAUGCACAAACCCAAAUACUGUUCUCUCUUUCCAUACUCUCUCUUUCACUUUAUCAACGCUAGUCUCGCUUUAAAUUUUCUGCUAGUCUCAUUGACUCACGUUAUUGCUCAUUACAAAUCAUAUGCAGAUUAUAGAAAUAACCCAAUAGCACAAAGUGGAGAACUGUAAAGUACUCACCAGAGCUUGCAACAGUUGUUGCUGGGAUAUCAAUAACUAACCUGGAAAAUAUGCAUACAUGAUUUUCAAUGGGAACUGUGGCCAUAUGCUUAUAAUAUUUGAGCAGAAACUCUCUCAUCGGCAUUCAUGUCAUAUGACCGUCAAUCUAGACCGUUAAAAAAAUGAGGUCUAAAUAAGGUCGACAACAAAACAUACAGGAUAAUAAAAUAAGUGAUAAUUAAGAGAAAUGUUUACUUACUUUUUGCCUAAAAAUUGGCCCAUCCGAGUCUCCCAUCUCCCACACUUAGGCAAUGGCACUCCUCUAUAAUUUGAGCCGCCUCUAGGAAACCCGGUACUUUGUCAGGUUAAAUUGCUCAUCCGUUCAGCAAUAUGUUACAAAAGAAUAUAAUCAAUCUUCCCCAUAUCCACAAAAUCACAAAAAAAUAAAAAAAUAAUUGAAUAGCUGGUUGUACUGUUGAAGAUAAGUAAAACUGUUCAUGAUAAGUUCAGAGAAAACCACUAUCGAAAAAAAUUCAGCUUUCGUAAGGCAAGAAUUGAAGAACUCAAGUCAGUACUCACUUGUUUCAAGUCAUCUUUAUAGUCUUCAAUGUCAUCAUUUAUGUCAGCCUCUACUCCCCUAAACUUGAUUGCAACUCUAUCAUACACUGUAAAAAAUAAUUUAUUAUAUGUAACUAACUAAUCACUAAUAUUUCUACGUGUUCUUGGAGAAAUUUUUUGUUUGUUUCCCCAGAAAAUAUAAGAAAAUAUAAGAUUUUUUAUGGUAACCAAAAUAGUACUCGCUGAAAUCUAACGGACCCAAUAUUCAUCCUGUUGUGUCCCUCGAAUAAUGUCCCGCACGUGAGCGUCCCUGAUAUUUCUCCUCCCUUUUGCUUUGGGUGACUGCGUAUUCCCUCCGUCGCGGACCACCACCAAACUCAGCUGUGCUCUUGGGUUGAACUACAUCAGAGAUAUUUAGGUAAGUUGGAUUUAUCUAAUCUUUUAUUGGUUAAUUUCGAACUGAUUUUAUUUUUCUUUUCGUAUGAAAUCUUUGCUAAACUAUGUGUUGUGAAUUCACCCAGCUUCAAGAUUAGAGGUUGUUUAAUAUGUCAGACGGAAUAAUCACAACUAACAAACCGUCUAUAUUUUCGCUAUGAGCUUUGAUACUUAUUGCGUUUCAUAUUUUAGUUGACAUGGAAAUGUUUUUGGUGGGUUGUUUCUUUGAGUGAUUCAAGAGUGGUGUUUCUUGUUGUUGCACGCUCCAGUAUAUAUCCAUUGUCAUGGAUUCACAGGAAAACCAACCACAACCCCAUCCAACUCAAUCCUUAAACUUCAAAUUGAAAUCAUCUGUAUUCUAUGUCUCCUCCAUCCUAAUUCUCGUCCUGGCCAUCUCAUUCAGUUUCACCAAAUCAAACUUUCUAAAACCCCAACACCUCAAGUACACAUUCUCGGUAGAUCCCACCUUGUUUCAGACUAUUCUAGAGUUUAUUCACUCAUCCAAUAAAACCAUACAAACCCAAGAACCUGAACCCAUUUCGCUUCCCCGCAACUGUGUCAUGUGGAUGGCUCCUUUUCUAUCAGGUGGUGGCCACAGUUCAGAAGGUUGGUCGUAUAUUUUAUCCCUUCAUGAACAGAAUAGAACCCGCAGUUUUAGAAUUGCUAUUGAGCAACAUGGUGAUCUACUGUUCGCUUGAAUUCUGGCAGGGAUUGCCUGAAUAUAUGAAAGAUUUGGCAACUGAGCUUUACCGCACAAAAUGUAAUAUGAAAGAGACGAUAGUCAUAUGUCAUAGUGAGCCUGGUGCAUGGAACCCCCCAUUGUUUGAAACUCUGCCUUGUCCUCCAGCUGCUUAUGGAAACUUCAAAUCUGUGAUUGGUCGGACCAUGUUUGAAACUGAAAGGGUGAGUCCCGAACAUUCGAAAAGCUGUAACAAAAUGGAUUACGUGUGGGUUCCUACUGAGUUUCAUGUAUCUAAAUUCAUAGAAAGUGGGUUUGAUCCAUCUAAGGUGGUCAAAAUUGUGCAGCCUAUUGAUGUGAAGUUCUUUAAUCUAGUCGAGUAUGAGCCAUUAAAUCUUGCUUCUAUAGGGAAAUUGGUCAUGGGGAAGAAAACACGGAACUUAAAAUUUGUGUUUUUAAGCAUUUUUAAGUGGGAAUACAGGAAAGGAUGGGAUGUUUUGCUGAAAGCAUAUUUGGGAGGAAGAAUACUUUAUAUCUUUUAACAAAUCCGUAUCACUCGGAGAAAGAUUUCAGCAAUAAGAUAGUGGAGUUCGUGCAGAAAUCUGGAAUAGAAAAACCAGUGACUGGUUGGUCUCCAGUUUAUGUGAUCUGACACUCAUAUUGCCCAGUCUGAUCUACCUCCAAUAUACAAGGCAGCUGAUGCAUUUGUUCUUCCAUCAAGAGGGCUGGGGAAGGCCUCUGGUCGAAGCUAUAGCAAUGUCAUUGCCGGUGAUUGCCUCAAAUUGGUCGGGACCAACAGAGUAUUUGACAGAGGAGAAUAGCUAUCCCUUGAUAGUGGAUAGGAUGAGUGAAGUAAUGGAAGGGCCUUUCAAAGGACAUCUCUGGGCAGAGCCUUCUGUUACUAAGCUUCGGGUGUUGAUGAGGCAUGUAAUGGAUAAUGUCAACGAAGCCAAGGCCAAAGGAAGAAGAGCAAGGGAAGACUUGAUCACGAAGUUUGCUCCGGAAAUUGUUGCAGAUAUUGUUAUCAAACAUGUACUAAAUAUAUUCGAAAAGAUGGAUUGAUACUUGCUUUGGUUGUUAAUGGCAUGAACUAGUUUUCUUUGGCCGGUUAGCUAUUGAUCAGGUAGCGAGGCUUACAUCACAAUCACCUAAAAUUUUCAUAACAAACUGUAGUACACGUACAACAGUAAUAAUAUCCUAAUUGGUUACCAAAACUGGCCCCUAUCAGCCCGAAUCUGCAAUCAGUCUAUUCUAGCUCAAUGCUCAUGCACAAGACUAUAAACACACGCGAGCAAUUGAUCUACUAAUAACGCCACCUAAAGUUGAAGUUUCCGCUUGGCAGUCAAUCAGAAAAAAAAAAUAAUAUAUAUAUAUAUAUAUAUAUAUAUAUAUAUAUAUAUUCGAACUACUAGGGACCAUGCCUUUACUAAUUCUGAUGUAAAUCAAUUUUGUGCUCUUUGUAAGUCUGACUGAAACUCUAGAUCAUUUUUUCUUCUUUGGCCAGACUUUUCCCGACUUUUUUAUGCUGCAUUGUAAUUUAGGCUUUAUUGAUUGGUUAGAUCGUAUUGCUUAUUUUCAAACGGACACUUAAGGGUUUUCAAACGGACACUUAAGCUGUAGCCUUGGAAACUGCCUAUCAUACUAUAUUUGGAAUUCAAGAAAUAAUGUCAAUUUCACAAAUUAAUGUGCAUCUCCUUUUCAUAUCUUUUAUAGUGAUGCCAAUCCUUGCAGCUUCUAAAGGUCUGAGAGGAAUCAGGAUAUUCUCUUAACUGAGGCUUUAGCAGUUGGAGCGAGUCUUCAUGCAACUUUCAUUCAUGGUUUUCAUGAUUUAGAGGCGGAGUUGCUCAUUCAUAGUAUUAAGUAUUAACGGAGCUUGCCAUAUUGCUUGGGAAUUCUUGUUCUUGGUUGGAGACAUCAAACUCCUCGGCUUCGCAACUACAAAUAUCUACUUGUAAACAUGUGAGAAGCAAACUUUCUGACAGAAGUCUAGUUCAAUUCUCUUCCUCCUGCAGCAGUCAAGCUUUUCUUUCACACUUUUUUGAGUUCUGCUUGUCUAGAGGUUUUUCUUUGUAAUUUUGGUUUCUUGAUUUGGAUAGAGAAAAGUUCAAUCAAAUAUGAGCAACCCAACUCAAAAUGCUUCUGUUUGCCACCCUACUAUAAUUUUUUUUUAUCAACUUCUGUUCCAAUUUUAUAAGUUGAAAAUCCAAACUUUGUAAAGCACAUCAGUGUUCAGACACUUUGAAUGGUCUCCGUUCAAAGUUCAAACACUUACUCUUGAAAACCUUAUACAUACACUACAAAUACAACAAUUUAAUAACAAAGUUUACAUGCCAGCAAGUUUACAGAAGCCCUCGUUCCUAGUUUGGUUAUUCCACAUUGAAGAGCUGAAUUUUGGACUGGGUCAUUUGACAUUACAAAUUUACAAUACUCAGAAUGCGAUAGGAUCAUCUUUUGGAAGAGAAUGCCAUGGAAAUAGAACCUAGUUUCAGUCACCCUAAAAAGAUUGGAGUGAUAAGACUAGGGGCAUGAUCAAUGCUCAUCUUGGCAAGGGAGUCGGGUUAUUCAUCUAUAUUUUCAAUCCCAGCAUGGAAUCAGUAGCUAACCAAAUAAAAUAAAAAAUUGGUGAUUAGCAUAAUAUACCUCUAAUCUCCUUCAAUACCUGUCUUGAGCUAAAUCCUGAAUGCAAUCUACUUUUCCGCAGGCCUACUAUGUUCGUUCGACACAGAUGAAAUACCAUGCUCGAUACACUGGACAAAAAUUCAUUGUCAGGGACAAACAAGGAACUAUGAUUGUAGCCAGCUCUUGCUCUAUCCACACUGUAACUUAUUUUUGAUAUUUUUGUCCAAGGAUAAACCAACAAUAUCAUUUGAGACCAAUCAGUUGGCCCGCAAAAAUCAAUGCCUGAUAUACAUACCUCAAGAAGAUAUCCGUGCAGCCAAUCCAAUGUUUGUGGGAAUGUUGUUGCUGAUAUAUUAUUGACUACCAUCAAUCCCUGUUAGAUAUAAAUGACAAAAUAAAUAACUGUAAAGUGCAAACCAUUAGACCAAUCACAGAUGAAAUGAAUUGAAAUGACACGAAGACAUACCUGAGAAUUGAAUGAGCAAAGAUAGUCCUGGAUGGUCUUUAAGUUGCUUAUUAGUUUUAUCUUUAUCCUGGGAAUGAAAAAGAAAAGAAAAAGAGAUUAUGAUACAACAUUACAACUCAUAAGCUAUCAUAGGGUCAUCCAUCCUUAACUAAUAUCUCCAUAAAAACAGGGAACACAAAUACUUAAUACCUGGACUAGAGACUUAUCACUGAACGUACGUGCUCCUCCUCUAGCAAAGCUUGAAAAGAGAAGUUUUCAGAAAACAGAUGAUUCAGACCAAGAGGGAAUAAUUGAACAUAACAACAAUAAAACUAAGUAAAAUGAUCUUGAAGUUGCAUCAAAACCACCCAGAAAAAUUUCAAUUCAAAGAAAACAUAUCUGAGAAUCGAUGUUCUUUUCCCAUAUACGGUACUAAACAAGUUUGUUUUAAUAAUUCCGAUUCAGGAAUUAGGGGCCUAUCAAAGAGAGAGCCGGGCAACAAUUUUGUACUUCCAGUUUUACCUACCUUUGUCUAUUAUGUGCUAAAACAUGCCCAAAAAUAGCGUCCAAAACCUAUUAAUGGAGCACAUUCCAAGUUACUUGUGAACCUAAAGAAACCAAGGGUUAAAGAUUUUAAACCAAAGAACACACACACACAAAGUCACAGACCAAGGACACUGAGAAAGAGAAAUUCGCAUAGAAUACAUUUGGAAGAGAAAUGCAAAGUCGACCACCUUAUGAUCAAAUUCAGCCAUUUUCAGAACUAUAGGUAUAAUUAUUGGUUCCGGACCGGACUUCUCUUUAUUGACAAGAAAAUUUUUGUCUGUCUCUUCACCACUAAGCUUUUCACCUGUAGCACCACAAAAGUAGUUAGAAAAGUGAAACCUUAAAUGCUCCACUCUUUUUUUUCACUUCAACAUUUUAAUGCAUAUGUGUGAUUCUUGUCGAAGUUUGUGUGUGUGUGGGUUGGGCUUUAUGGUUGUUGUCCAUAUAAAUUUAGUUUUAUGAAAGUUUAAAGUUCAACCCAACCCCAUAAAUGGCAGUUUUAGAAGUGAAAUCUGCACUCUAUUUAUAAGAAUAUGUUUUGAAAAAAAGGAAGAUAAUAGUUAUUGAACAGAACAUAAACAUUGUGAGCAAUAUUUAGAGCAGUGGUUCACCGUUUUAUCAGACAAACUUGCAGCAAGGUAAAUAGCUUCCAGGUAACCUGAGAAAGUGUUGACUUCGUUACUUAGUGUCCCUUCUUCAGAGUUGACAUGCUCGGUAUAUAGUAGAGAAUUAAUUCCCAUCUGUGUUUUUGAAUCAUUCGCUGCAAGAUGGUUUGUGUCGGGAGUUUUCUCUUGCACAUCGGCUAGUGUCUUAUUUUCAUCAUCCAUUAGAUAAAUGCUUGGAUCCAAAUAUAUUCCCUGCCAUUAGAAAUAGAUUAAUAAGACUCGAAUAUGAUACAAACAAAGACCAACCCAGAAAAGAAAAAGAAAAUACCUCACAGCCUACAAAAGAAAAAUCAACAGAAUCCAUCAAAGAGGUAUAAUAUUAAAACAAGACCUGAACUAGGGAAAAAAAAAAAAAGAGGAGCGCUCCCCAACCUAGAUAGGUCAGACUAGCUGGAGUGUGACCCUAUAAAGAAGUUAUACAACUACAUAAUGCAGAAGAACCACUUAAAAAAUUAGGUCUCUUAAAGAGGUACACAAUGAAUUAUGGAGAAGUAUUCUUUAGUAAAACAGUCUAAAAUUCUCAGGAAUGUUAAUCAAACUGAUUACAAAAUCUGAACGCCUCUCAAGGCUGCCAGAGGGUCAUUUUAACUGCUAGAACCACUAAACAUCCACCAAUAAAUGUACCUUUUUUUUUUUUUUGAAAAGAAACAGCUUUUUAUCAAGACAAAAAACAAAGAACAAUGAGGCGGACAAGGAGUAGGAAAGAGAGCAGCAACAGCUAAAGGCAGAGCAGCUCAACUUUAAGAACUACAACUAAACAAACAGAUUAUACUACAGCUGCUUCCCAAUAAAGAAUAAUGAAAGAAAGACUAUAAUCCUUAAAUUCCUUAGAAGUACAAGCCCAUAAAGAUGCCCAGAACUUGACUCUCUCCCACAGGUCUUCCCUCUCCACCCCACUAUAGGAUUCAAAUAUUCUUCUAUUUCUUUUCAUCCAGACCACCCAGACUACCGCUAACACCCCACAACCCCAAAGAACUCUGGCUUUAUUCCCUUUUCCAAAAGCUGAAAGAUUUUCUUUGAAAAAAUCCUUCCUCUCUGAUGGAGCUGUCCAGACCACUUUUGUCUCCCUAUAUAAUUUCUUCCAUAAAAAGUUAACAACUUCACAAUGAAUAAAGACAUGAUCAACACUUUCCGCUUGAGCUUUGCACAAAAUGCACCAAUGAGGGGAAAAACAACAGCCUGGUCUUCUCCUUUGAAGAACAUCACAAGUAUUCAUCCUCCCAUGUGCCACAAGCCAACCCAAUAUUUUUACCUUAGUAGGAGCCUUGGAGUUCCAAAUAAACUUUGCAGGCGCAAAGAUCGGGUCUAGUCCGCUACUAAUUAAAAAUCUAUGAAAAGAUUUGUGAGAGAAUUUCCCAGUAGACUCGAGCUUCCAUCUCCUUUCAUCUUGUUUGGAUUCCACUAAACGAACAUUUUCUAGCUUAGACAUCAACGACGCAAACUCCUCAAUCUCCUGAUCAUUUAAAUUUCUUCUGAAUUCAAAAUCCCAACUCAUCAGAAAACUAGAGUGAACAACUAAUCUUUCCACCAAAGAAUUGGUAUAUCUCGAAAGUCUGAACAGCGAAGCAGAUGGUCUUUCUUGCUUGCCCUCUCCAACUCCAUCACAAAAGAAAUUUUUCAAAAGAGAUUCUACCUCUUAGCAACUCCAACUGGAAUCUGGAACAGAGAAAAAUAAUGUCGGAAGGCAGCUUAGAACUGCUUGAAUCAAUGUCAGCCUACCACCUCUUGAUAGAAAAGCUUUUUUCCAACCCUCCAAUCUCUUCUCAACUUUCUCUACUACUGGGUUCCAAAACCAGGCUUGUAACCUUAUCAGAGUACAGAAGCUGCACUGAUUCUGACCUUCAGGCCGUAACUGCUUAAUAAAUGCAGUUCCAGGGCUUCAAAAUGAAAACUGUUUUGCAGGCAUAUAGGUGAGAUAUAGGGCUAAAUUUCUGGAAAUUUUCAUGAUCAAAUCCUUCCCGAGCUGUAAAUUAUAGGCUCCCAAAGUCGCUGCUGAAAACUGGGCGGAAACUGUACUUCAAACAAACGUCAGUUUUCUCCAUGCCAUCACUUCACACACCUUCCUACCACCCAAUGAUGGUCAAAUAACCUUGUUACCUACAAGAUGAAACUCAAAAGAUCAAAUUACCUAGGUUGCCUCCCUAGAGGCGCUUGAGAUUAAAGACGUCAAGCCGGUCUCCAAACAACACAAACGAAAUGAAGAAAUUAAACACAAAGGAAAAGAAGUGGAAAAGCGGCCCAAAGCUACCUAAAUAGGUACACCACGGCCUUGGAACACAAAGAGGUGCUCCACACUUCCUCCGACACAAACACAAACUAAGAUACACAAACUUUUUUUUUGUGGCAUAACAACUUGCCAAACAUUUUUCAUUAUUUCACACACAAAGAAAGAAGCAAAGAGGAAACUACAAAGAACAUGCAAGUGACUAAAUGACCAUGUGUUUAACAGAUUCCUCCUCUUGCUUACUUGUACAAAAUAAAAUCAAGUUACUGAUUCUCUAAUAAAGAACCAAUUCAAUUUGUCAUAUAAAUGAGAACCCUACCCUAAAUCAACGAACUAUUAUAUCAGUUAGCACCCGCAGAUAACUCCCAUCACAUAAAUUCUCCCAAAUCCGUAAUUCCCACAUCGUAUACCAAAGCAAGUGAUUUUAAUCACUUCACGAUAGACGUCUAAGUCAAAAUAAAAAAAAUUCAAUCAAUUUUAUAUCCAAUUAAUCUAAAAUAAGUUAUACAAUGAAAAAUUAUAAAGUAUAAUUAGCCAAAACUGACAUGUUGUGCAAAACAGAGAAAGGCAUACCUCUCUCCUUUCAAAUUCAAUCUUCUCCUUGAUAUGAGCACAAAGUGCUAUGUUUAUAAUGUGUUUCCUACCCUAUUUAGCUAUGAUAUUCUCAUAAUAAUGCCAUUUCUAACAUGUUCUGUGAUUGUAAAGGACAUGAGAGCAUAAAUCAAGAAAAGAAGGCUAAAUCAUGGAAAUAACAGAAAAAUGCCGAAAAAGACAGUGAAACCUUCUUGCAGUCCAAGGAAGGAAGAAGAUAGCCCAAAAGAAGACCCAAGUCCAAGGAUGAAAGAGAAAAAUGCAGAAAGCCCAAAAGAAGGCCCAAGUCCAAGGAUGAAAGAGAAAAUUGCAGAAAGCCCAAAAGAAGGCCCAAGCUGUCCAAGGAAGAAGAAAAGUCAAACAUAAAUCACAGUCAAAUAUGAACCUUUGGGCCGAAAUACUCUGAUUGUUCCCGCAAUUGGAGUCCAAUUGCAUAGAGGCAGAUUGUUGUUGCUGUUGCGGUUCCAUUGCAGCAAUUCAAUGUGUGAUUUUGAAUAGUCCCAAAUGCUAGGUUGUUCUUUCUUCCGGUUUGAAUUUACAGCUCAUAUCCAGACAAUGAUAUCCUCCUGCAUUGUUACCGGAAGGCUCUGCACAAAUACAAUAUCUAAAUGAAUAUUUGCAAAAAUUAAGAUGAAAGUUAGAGCAAAUACAAUAUCUAAAUGAAUAUCAGUUGAGUUCAGCUCACUCUCAUAGUUGCUAGGAUCAAAGUUAGAGCACAUUAUUUCCCAUUAUACUUUAUUGCAGCUUUGUCAUAGGCCCUACAAAAAAAUGUACAUCAAUUCUCACUCCAAUCUUCAACUAAUUGUUUUUCUUCUUCCCAAAAAUGAAUAAAUUCAAUAUCUGUAUCGGUAUCUGUAUCUGCAACUUUGCAAACACGUACCUUCUGCGUCGUUCUCAGCAUCAAAUAAUCCCAAAUAAACGUACCUGUAAAAUCAAUCGUUAAGCUGUGUAAGAGAUUACAAAUGGGGCACAGAAACUUUCUCAUUGGCAUUUCAUGUCAUCUGACCGUCGAUCUAGACCGUCAAAAAAAUGAGGUCUAAAUAGGGUCAACAACAAAACAUACCGGACAAUAAAAGGGGGAUAAUUAAGAAAAGGGUUUACUUAAUUUUUGCCUAAAAAUUGGCCGAUCCGAUCUCUCACACUUAUGCAAUGGCACUCCUCUAUAUUUUGAGCCGCCUCUAGGGAACCCGGUACUUUAUCGGAAAAGUACAUGCACACAUUCCUCCUUUGUUAAAUUGCUCAUCUGUUCAGUAAAAUAUUACAAAAGAAUAUAAUCAAUCUUCCCCAUAUCCACAAAAUCACAAAAAAAAAAUUGAAAAGCUGGUUUUAUUGUUGAAGAUAAUCUAUAAAACUGUUCAUAAUAAGUUCAGAGAAAACCACAAUCCCAAAAAACCCAGCUUUCUUGAGGCGAGAAUUGAAGAACUCAAGUCAGUACUCCAUGUCAUAGUCUUCCAUGUCAAAUUUUAUGUCAGCCUCUACUCCCCUGAACUUGAUCGCCGCUCCGUCAUACACUGCAAGACCAACACGGAUAUUUUAUUUGUCAAUUCAUAGAAAAAGAGGUACUGAAACUUCAAAGUGGCAUUUCAAUAGAUAAUUGGUGAUAUACUGAAACUACUCCCCAACUUUAUAAAACAGGAGAAAUUAUAAAACAGGAAAAACCAUGAAUGGAUGAUAAGCCAAUGAAGUAUGGUAACACAGUAAAACACACCAUUCAAACCAUAAAGCUGAGCCACAAAGAAACAAUAACAUUGUAGGCAAAGUUGAAAGAAAAGACGAUGCAUUUUAGAAUAGCUAAGGAGAAUAAGCAAGCCUAAAUCUAAAACUAAUAAAAACCAAAAUGUACAAUUAAUCAAAAAUAUAAGUAUUGAGGAAUCUGAAGUAAAUAGACAACAACAUUGUAACAAAAAUUGAAAAAGAAAAAAAGAAGAAGAACAGACACCCUUACGGAGCAAUUGAUGUCGUCGAUCUUGAGGAAAAAUUAAUAUCAACACACUCUCACUCAGAACAUACUCCUUUAGUUUCCCGCACAAUAAAGCAAAUGAAAAUAUCAAACACACCAAAACCACAGUUUGAUCUAAUUGAACUAACCGAAAAGAUUGAAAUCCUUGAUCUAACUAAAAAAAUUAUUAAAAUCCAACCAAAUACCAAACACAGAUUUGACAAAAUAUAAUUUUUUCACUCACCUUGAUCCAACACAAAGGAUUGAAACCUCUGGAGCAAAUACUUGCAUUCAUCACCAUACCUAGUUUCCAGCCAGCUCCAAUUAUCUCUUCAAUUGUGAUUGCUUUUGGUAAAUCGAAAAUCAGUGAUCUGCAAACCCGGAAGAACAAUCAAAGUCAAGCCUCAGAUGAUGAUGCCCUUGCCACAAACAGUGUUAAUCAUGAACUUGGUUUCAUUGCUUUUAACCAUCUUCCCAACCAUGCUGCACAAGCCUUUCUGGAUGACAUUGCUACUGUUUCUAGAGCUAGGAUGAGCUCUUCCUCUAAUUUUUAGUCUGUUUGUUUUUUCUGCUUUGGGUCUUUUUGACCCCGUUUGUAACCAAAAAAAAAAGUCAAGCCUCACAUACCUCACUCAAUCUCAGACGUAAAAUACUUGAGUAUCCAUUCUUUCUCUCUUUCUAUUCUAUUGCAAAUCCAGACAUUGAAAACCUAUGUUGUUUGCAUAUACCAGAUGUAAAAUUGUUUUUGGUCAUACACAGCAAUCAAAGCUGCAACUAAAUAUUUUUGCUCAUAACUGUCAUCAUUAACAUUCAACAGGUACAUUUUGGGAUUUUCAAUCAAUUUUAGAUGCAUUGCAUUGCAUGCAUUUUAUCUAUGUGUAUAUAUUUCUGAUGAACAGCAAAUCCUAAUGUGAGUUAUCAAAAGGUCUGCAAUCACGCCCAAUGUGAAAAGUAAAAUAAACAGAACAGACCUUCAAUAUGAAAUUGAGUCCCAACAACCUUCACCGAACCUGCAAAAAAAUUAAAAGUAUUCGCAAGACCCAAUCCAAAAUCCAACCGGUCAUGUGAAUAAAUAACUCAAACUCACAUAUCAAAAAUGGACUUCAUCCAUACAGUACUCAUUCAAUCACAUUGCAUACAACAUUGCAAUCCUAAAUUCUUAACCUCAUAAAAGCUGCAAGUCCUCCAAUCGUAUCUAAAGAUGGAAAAAUCUGUCUGCAUUAUAAUAUAGCAGCAAUCGUUCUUAACAAUUCUCCAUUUAGAAGGCAAAAGAGCAACCAUUUUUGCAGCGCAUCAUCAAAAUUUUAUUUUAUUUUUAUAUGUACAAAGUCUUUGAAGCCCUAUUAUUCUUCUCCGUUUAUUUCUGUUCUAGUUCACACAAAAAUGCAAGCAGAUGAUGGAAAUAUGAUAUAUUCAAAGAUGGACAAUAGGAAAUGCAUAAUUAGAUGUAAAUAUGGAUGUGAUUCUCAGUAUGCAAAUGUCAUCCAUUAACAUUCUAUUACAUGAUCACCAAACCUAUCAAAUUUGAAUAAAGCUAAAACACAUAUACAUACUCAUAAUCUGUAAAACUAUCCACAUAUGUUACAAUAUCUUUCCACUCCUUUUACUUCCUUUUUAUUCAAAUACAAUAACACUAAAUCAACAGAAGAAAAAAGUAACCUGAAUUACAGAGGCACAGCAACAGCAACCAAAAUCUACCAGCAAAAUCAAAAAAUAAAUAGUUAGCCUUAAAGUUUAUAUAGUGAACAUAAGGAGACAAAAAUUUCUUAUCUAAUUUCUGAAAUACAUACUACCCCCUCACCUUCUAAAACAGGAAAAACUAUGAAUGAUGAUAAGCCAAUUGAGUAUGGUAACACUGUAAAACACACCAUUCAAAUCAUAAAGCUGAGCCACAAAGAAACAAUAACAUUGUAGGCAAAGUAGAAAGAAAAGACAUACAUUUUAGAAUAGCUGCAAAGAGAAUAAGCGAGUCUGAAUCUAGAACUACAUAAAAACCCAAAUGUGCAAUUAAUCAAAAACUUAAUUAUUGAGGAAUCUGAAUCAAAAACAUACAUGAUUUUCAAUUGGAACUGUGGCCAUAUGCAUAAAAUACAUUAGCAGUGGAAUACCUACUGAAUCUUUUUGGCUUCAAAUCAAAGAGGAUUCCCAAUACCACCAACUGUAAUUACACACAGCAGAAUACUACCAUGUUCGUUAAGUUUAACUAAUCUAUACAUCUAUAUAUAAUGCAAGCCUAGUUAAUAUGUGUAUGCUAACCUGUAUUGAAAAGUAUACUUUAUACUUUAUAGCAAUACGCAAGUCCAAUGGCAUACCUCAUUUCUUUACUUCUCUGUGCCCAUCAUAAAGUAUAUGUAUCCACAAUGCAAGUCUAAUCACAUCAUUUUCUUCUCUUUGCCUAAACUCUAAUCAGACCAAAUGGAUUGCAGCACACAAUACAAACUAAUCCAUCCAUAUUAUAAAUGUCACCAACAACCGAGUAUUAUUUUAGCUACAAAUUUCAUACUAUUGGCAAGGAACACUGUUUUGACAACCUGUAUUGUUUUAUGGGAUAAAAUUGGACACAGAACUUGGAAACAGAGGCAGGAACCAACCAACUGGUCGUCCUACUUCCAACGACCCGUCAUCCAUAUUCGGGUUUCCAAGCGACGCUGGCAGAAGGCAACCGAUUCCAACCGACCGGUCAGUCCGUCCAGAAACACCGACGCCUAGCAAGUGAAAUUAAGAAACCCAAUUUCCAAUAAACCAAUCCAAAAAAUUUGAAGAGGAAUCUAACCAAAAUUGAAGGUCCCAAAUUCAUUUGCACCACACAAAGCUGCAUGCAUGCACAUAACUUUGGCACCAAUUUCUCUCUUUCUCAAUUUCUCCCCAACCCAAACAUCGAAGAAUCAAAUACACAACAACAGAACAUAUUAAGUUGGUGAUCAAUGAUUACCAUUUACCCCAAAAACAAACCUGUUCCGACCUGAGGGAAGUGAGGAGAGAUAGAGAGAUUGAUCUACAAAACACAACGGGAACCUGAGAUCAAUGGAAAAAAGGAUUGAUAACGGACAAAGAAAAAAAGAAAGAUAACAGAAACUUACAAUAGAUAAGGAAGGAUUAUGUCAGAUUCAUCACAUACAAUGAUCAACUCUCGCUUCCUCCACUCUAUCUCACUAUCUCUCGGUGUCGAGGAACCAAAAACGAUUAGAUAAAAUCCAUAAAAAAAAACGAUUAGGUGGAAGCUUGGCAGAUGAACAGAUAGCAGGACAAUGGAGUAAAAAGCAAAAGACCACAGGGGCAGCCAAACCAAAUAGAAAAAAAUACAGAGAGGGAAAUAUACUUUAUAUGAAAGAAAACAGAUCGGAAGAGGCUAACUGUUAGUUCACCAGUCAAAGAAUAGCUCAAACCCUUUGAAGAGCAAGUAUCAGAGUUUCUGUAAUUCGAUUAAGACUUUGGAGUCAUCACGCCUUGCCCAUCAAAUCAACCUGAAAGAAGAGUUUAUGAGUGAUAUAAGAAUAACUUUCCUAUUCAAAUAUCCAACACAAAGAAUAGAAGAGCAUAUUAAAAGGGUUGAACAGAUGAUCGAUGGUUACCCCAUACACACGAACACUUGUACGCAUACAUGAGAGAAAAAGAAGGAUACUCCAGGCCCCCAAGUGAUUAAUAGAAUCCUCCUCUUGCUUGCUUGUACAAAAUAAAAUCAAGUUACUGAUUCUCUAAUAAAGAACCAAUUCAAUAUGUCAUAAAUGAGAACCCAACCCUAAAUCAACGAACCAUAACAUCAGUUAGCACCCGCAGAUAACUCCCAUCACGUACAUUCUCCCAAAUCCGUAAUUCCCACAUACACCAAACCAAGUUAUUUUAAUCACUUCUCGUAUCAAAAAUCACGUCUAAGUCAAAAAAAAAAUCAAUCAAUUAUCCAUUUAAUCUAAAAUAAGUUAAACAAUGAAAAAUUAUAACGUAUAAUUAGCCAAAACUGACAUGAGACCUAACCCCAGCAGCAUUGAUACUCUGUACAAAUGAAAGGAAUAAAUUGCAAAACUAAUACGGCAAUGCUGAAAUUGAAGACCAUGACCAAGUUGAAAAAACCAUUUUGAUAUGUAUCAUAGGCAACUAUUCAUAUAUUCAAGUGCAUCUUACAUAUCGUUCCUCAAAGAAAAGCUUGUCGAUCCAGGAACAUUGUCUCACCAGUCCCUUAAUGUUGCUUUUCAGGUACUUCUGAAUUGCUGCAAUAAAUGAACCCCAACUGAAAAGCAAAGAAAAACAGGACCAGCUCAAAUUCACAAACAUUAAAAAAUGAAAAUCUAGGGAAAAUUGAAAGGAUUACCAAGACCACAAAAAUAGACCCAAGUCAAUAACGUCCAGAGCCAACCGAAUCCAAAACCUCCCUAGUCCCCUUCACCAUAGUGUCAGUAGCUGAUACUGUAACAACAAUAAGAAAACCCAUAAUCAGUGGCUGAAACUGUAACAACAAUAAGAAAACCCAUAAUCAGCAUCGAAUUUACACAGAACCCAAACUAAAAAUUGAACAGCGAAUUUGUUGAACGUAUACCGCAGGCACAGAUAGGAAACUGCAAUCAACUUGUAUACUGCAAUCAACCCUAAACCCAAUCAGUUAAAAACCAACAGCAACAGUAAACAAAAUCAAAACCCACAAAAAUGACGAACCAAGUCAUUACCGGUGCAAGCCAAGUUAACAUGUAUUUGAAAUAUACCUUCCAACUAUUCAGUGCACUUAAACAAACCAAGUCUAAUCCGGUGCAAGCCUACAAAUCCCAAACAGCCAAGAAAUAUGAGUAGGUCAACGACAUAGAGUUAAGCAAAACGAUAUGCACAACACAUAGUAAAAUAAGAAGGAAAAGGAGCUUUUUGCUUAUCAGAACAUAUAGUUUACUGACACAGCAUUUUGUUCCUACAUAUUACUUCCCUUGAUCUUUUAUAAAUUAGUAAACUGUGACUUCCACUUUCCUCUACUUGUUACCAAUACCAAACAUAUUGGUAGAACAGGAUUGUAAGCAAGGAUCCAAGUAACAGAAUUUGAAGAAUAUGGCAAUGCUUUGGAACUUGAUUAAGUUCUAACAUCUAAAGUUACCGUUAAUAAAAUAGGGUGACAGCACCCAAGUGAUCAGUUGGCAGAAAGAAACCAUCGUUUAAUCAUGCUUAAAACUCUCUUCCUAUGUAUAUAUAUAGUACUAUAAGCCUUCAUAUAUCUACUCUUAUAUAUAUAGUACUAUAAGCCUCAGAAUUCGAAGAAUCAAUAAAUAAUGAAAAUGUCACUGCACAGAUACCAUCAUCACAGGUUCUGUCAUGAGAUCUAUCACUGCGAAAAGACAUAUCCACAAACAGAAAACAGGUUUUGCUAUUCUAAACAUUUAUAGCACGAAUGGAAACAAAACAUGUCAUAAUUAAUAUUAUUAAGGAAAUAACAUAACUAAACAGGGUAGGAAAUACGUUAAGAUCAUAGCAUAUUAUGCGUCUGUCAAAUUCCCCCACACUUAGCUUUUGCUAGUCCCUUAGCAAAACCACAACGACAACUCGAUAACAUUUACAACAAACAAGUCACAGACUUUACAAGUGACGAACGAGAACUCUAAUGCCCAUAACUAUUGUCUCAAAAUCCCUAAUCUCAUGGCAUCAAAAUUAGCACUCAAUCAAGAAUUAUUCUAUGAAGUUUCGAAAGCUAAUUGCCAUGCAUUGACACGGAAGAACAAUGGUGAUGGUUAAGCUCAGCGUGUUUCACCAUUGCUCUAGACAAAUAUGAUUCAAUCUCACACAGUAUGCACUCAUUUUUCACUCAGAUUUUCUGGCUUAAACACUCAAAAGUAUGCAAGAGGAAGUAUUUUGAGGCAUUCAAAAAGUUUACAUUUAUAUGAACAAAAAGCACAAUAGAACAGAUAAUAACCUCAUGAAAGAAUCAAUCACUCACACAAAUGAACCAUACCAUAGGCUCAACUCUUGGAAGAAACUCCACAUAUCAAGUUUUAAUCAUCUUUCAUAUCAAAAGGAACUUUCAAAGGUGUUAAUGGGGCUGGGCUACGGGUAUGAAUUUAAGAGAAGGUAUUGCAAAAUUCCUAAGGACCUAGCAGAGCAUUCAAACACGUCUUAUGUUGCCACAGCAAGGGCCAAAUGUCAUCAUUCUGGGACCUUCGUCAUUCCAACAACUUUACAACAUCAUGAAACAGAACAAAGGCCAAAUAAUUUCAUUUUUGGGCCUUCCAUUAACAACCAAAAUUCCCAUUUCACAACACAAAGAGAAUGUCCAAUUUUUUUUCUUUUCUUUUUUUUUCCGUCCGAAAUUUUCUUUUCUUUUACACAGACAUUCAAUUCCCCCACACUUGUUUCCCAUCAUCAUUUCAUACGAUACAUCACAAUUGCUCUACUAAGCCCAAAAGACAAGGGUAGAGAUAUCAUUGUACUAAGCUCAAGGUAAAGAAAAAAAAAAUUUGAAGCCACUAUACAAUCGAUACAAUUUUCUUUAUUUGGGUACAUCUGUAACUUGACCGGAAAAACUGCUUAAAAAUGAAACUCAAAUCAGUAAGCCAUAUACUGGAAUUCGGUGCAAUCAUUAAGCCUUGGCAAUGUGCUUUAUGUUGAAUGCUCUUGAUAAUUAUUAUUAUUAUUAUUCAGAACCACACAUUAUAUUUAAGUGUGCAUGUAAAAUUAGCAAAAUGCACAGGACUAAUGUGGGUUAAACAGUAAUACCUCAACCAUGAGAACACCGGGCAAGGGAAAACGUUCUCAUUUAUCGUCACAUCUUAAUAGCAACAGUUGAAACACCUGGGUUGUUCUCGAUCUCUCUAUCCACCAAAAGAAAUGGAAACCUGCAAAACACCCAAAAGCCAAAAAGCCUAAAAGAUCAAAACUUUAGAAACAAUCACUAAAACCAUCCAAUACGCACCAACCAAAAACAGAUCAAAAACCAAGACCACUCACCUGUGAGGCAAGAUUUCACAUAUUUGAUUGAUACCAAUCAAUGUUGGAAAAGGUGGGAAUUCUGAAAUAAGAUACUGAUCAGAAUAGCCUCAUUGAAUGACUUUCUAAAACAGAUAAAAGCAAUGAAAUUGAAGUCAAAAUUGAAGAAUGUGCUUACUCAAUUCAAUUAGGGAGUCUUUGGGUUUGGCCGUUUGGGGGCGUCUUCUUGAGAAGAAUAACACACAUGAGAUUAGAUUGGAGAAGAAAUACAACACUACAGAGUGAACUAACUAAGAAGAGUAAAGAUAACAAACUUGUUUAAGCUGAAGCAAGUUCAUACCAGUCGACUUUCCCACCGAUUCCAUAGCAUUUCUUCCGGCCUCUUGAUCUGUGCUAUUACCAACUGCAGCUGUACAUAUCUCAAAAAGUAACGAAUCCCAAUCAGAUAGUAUUCUAUCAAUUUUUUCUGUUUUAUUUAAAGAAACAGAGAGAACUUGGCGUACAAACAUCAAAAGUGUCAGUAAUGUUGUUUUGGGAAUUUUGCCUUACCCUCAAGAAGCAGCCUCCUGUCCAUUGAUUCCAUCUCUCUUCUUCCUUCCGACCCCAGUCGUCCGCGAUCAAAUUCAGAAAUCAUACCUCAAAUCCAAAAUUUAAAUUCGUAAAAGUAUAUCAAGUACCACGCAUAAAGAUUUGGAAUGAAGUAAAAUAAAGAAAAUUGAAGAUGGUAUAAAUUCUACUUCAAUUGAACUUUCAUCAAGAGUGACAUUAUUCAGAGCAAAAUAAAAGUACACACCGAGCAACCUUUAUUAUUCAGAAGUUCUAGUGUAUAAAUUCAGAAGUUCAUAAGUUGAAUUUGCAAAUAAGACUGGCGUUUAAAAUGAUGAUUUCAUUGUAGUAUUAGGAAAAAAAAUAAAGGAAAUCUAUGCUUAUCAAUUUGAAGAUGAAUAAAUACCCUUUAUAGGGAGGCCACAUAUUUUUCUUUUGUUACAGCGUUCACGAGGCAUUCUCAUAAUUAGACACUAGAAAACUUGUAAAAGCCUAUGUUUCCAGUACUUAAGUGUUGCCGAAUAAGACGCUGCUGCGUCAAAUUCUUGGUCAUCAGAAGUGCCUGCAUAUACAUCAGAUCAAAUUAAUGUGCUCAAAUUAAUGUGCUGUUAAAAUCUACCGAGUAACCAACAAAUCUCAUAUUGGGUUGAAAAAAAGAAGGCUAAAACAUAUUGAUAACUACUUGUUCUCUAUCCCAAAACUGACCAGUAAACACUCCCAACUCCUCCAUUCCCUAAAUUGCUGUCAUAAUUGAAGUUGUUUGUUGCUGUAAGUUCCUUCCAAGGUAAAGAGCAUCCAUGUUGGCUGCUUUUUUUCUUUUUCUUUUUUUCUUGUUUUUACCUAUACAUCAGAUUACAUUCAUCAAAGCAUGUGGUUACUAAUAUUUUAUGACGAUCAAUUUGAAACUAUGUAUAACCUUCUCUUCUACAUAACAAACAUCAAAGGCAUCAAAAGGACAUACCUUCAUAUUCCAACGAAAGCUAUUCCAUAGGUCUCCAGCCUUCUUCCAUUAAUUAACAACACUAGGAUGUCUGCCUCGCGCGUUGCAGGCGCCUGUUUUUAAAGUAAGCUUCCUAAUAAUAUCACUAUACACUGAUCAUUUCAUUGUUACGCUACACAACUAAAAGAAACCCCUAAUUUCAUAUUAUAGAACUGGACUUGCACCUCUUCUCUUCCCGGGUGCUGCUGCGGUCUUUUAUUUCGAACUAAUGACUUUACAUAAGUUCCUUGCUGUUUCAAAUGUUAGAUAGUUUUCUGUCAGUGUUGAUCUGGAUGCUGUUUGCUGGCACUGAGAAACUGGGUAGAUUAAACAAUAUUAGCUGUUUUAAAGAAAACAGUAAUGUAUCAUUAAACAAUGAAAUUCAAAGGACGGCAAUAUUUAGAACAGUGACAUAUGAAAUUUAAGAAUUAAUUAAUGGCAAAUAAAAGAGGGAUGCUGAUAUUGCAAAAAGUUUAAGAUACAUAGUUGGGAAUACAGAGAUGCUAUGCGCCAUGGAUUUGGUUAAGUUCCCUACUGAUUUAGAGUUACUUUGAUAACCACCAAGUUCCAACUACUAUUCGCAGCUCUUGCUUGUACAUAUAUGCAGACAUGCAUGCAUAUAUAAUAGUAAAUCACAAUUCUCUUACAAAUUCAUAAUCAGAUGAAAUAUAACAACUGCAAUACAAAAUCAGAUUAACCAAGUAUAUUCAUAGCUCUUCAUUAAUGUAAAGUAUUAAAAGGUAAUUAGAUGUUGAGUUCAUAACUAAGCCAGAUGUGCAAUAGAGUUAAACAUAAGCAUGUGUACUGGACCUAGUAUUAUGACCAUUCUAUUAAUGACCUGUUCGUUUAGGACAGAUGAGAGUCGAGUCGAUUGAUGACUUUAAACAUGAAGCAUCAGGUGAACUUACUCUGUAAAUUCAACUUAUCAAUCUGCUCCUUCAGGGUCUCGAGAUCCUUCUCCAAGAUCCCCAUCUCUCUCACCUUCCUUCUUUCUUGUCCCAAACAGUAUAGAAACCACACAAAAACGGAAUGAAAAAAUUUGAAAAUUCAAAAGCACUCAACUUAUCUAUUCCAUCUGAGCACAGGAUUGGGAACUUCCCAAAUCUAUAGUCCCACGAAUCUAUCUUGGGGAAAAUUUAUAUUGCACUCUUUACGUUCAAACACCAACUUUCAUGCCAACGCACAAAAAAAAUUCAAAUGAAAACACAAUAAAAAUUCAAAUGCAAACGCAAAAGCCAAUAAAGUCAAGCAUAAAAACAUCAAGAACAUACCUGAGAAACUAACAAAUUGGAUCCCGCCCAAAAUCAACCAAACUCGACCAGGCACAUGUUAACAAAUCCUCCAUAGAUUUUCACUCAAAGAUAUCUCAUCGGCUCUACACCGAAAAUGAAAAAAAAAAUAUGGAUAGAACCAAAAGAAAAGGAUAAGAAAUACUGAGACAUUAGAGCACAUAAAAGCAUUGGUUUUCAAAACACUAUCUCGUCUUUUAACAUACCCGUCUCAGGAGGGAGGUAAUCAAGAGUGCCACAUAUGGUCCACCUGCGAUUGAAUGUAUGCACUGACCACCCAAAAUCUGCUAUCUUGAGUGCACCCUGACAUUAGAAAUCUACAUUGACAUGAAAAGCAACAAGUAUGCAUCAAUAAGUCAUAAAAAGGAAACAUAUAACAGCAUAGUAAGGCAUUCAGCACCUGUUGACCAAUGAGAAGGUUUUCUCGUUUGAUAUCUCGAUGAAUUACGUGCUUUCCAUGACAGUAUAUAAGGGCUCAGGCCAAUGAUGCAACAUACUGCAAAUACCUCAUACGAAAAAACAUCAGAAUUUUUAUUCUAUAAACAACUGAAAGAGAAUGAAUUCGACACCACAAAAAAACUUACGGUGGCUGCACGUCUUUCCCUAAAGUAUUUACACUUCUGGAGUUCCUUGUAUAGUUCACCUUUGGUGGCAUAUUCCAAUAUCAAAUAAACUCGUUUAUGCAAUAAUCAAAAUUCCACUGCAAGGGUGAGUGACUCUGUACCAGAGUGGUUCCAUUAACUAGGAGAAGUUCAAUUUGGUGCAAACAUAAACCACAUAUGAGCACUAUACCUGAUCAUAAAAGUAGCCAUAAAGACGUAGAACAUUGGGAUGGCAAAGAUGACUUUGUAUUUCAACUUCCGGGCGAAGCUGAUGCUCAACCUGAGAUUGUUGCAACUGGCUCUUGAAGAGGACAUUGAGUGCCACUAUGUGAUUGCUCUGUUUCAGGCAUAGAUACAGAUCAAGAACUGUUGUAUACACACCACUAAAAGCAGGUAAACAGAGAGAUACAACACCACGAUGAUGCAUAGCAAACACUCAUUUCCAACUUAAAAUUGAAAAAGCACAUUUGAUAAUAAACACUCAUUCCACAUCAUUUGAUAAUAAAGCACAUUAUACACAAAUCUCAUCCCCUCUCUACAUUUCUAUCGAAAAGUUUACAAAAAUCAGUAUAUCAUCAUCUGAUCACCUAUAUAGGCUAACCAGUGCAGUUCCUAUCAUCAACAGCUAUAGAAGAUCAACUCCAUAAACCUAUUUAAGACCAGCUCUUUAUAUUCACAAACUUUCCAAAACAAACACCCAAUUUAUAACCAAUGCGCAUUGCACUAUCAACGCCAUACAUAAUCUGAACCCACUAAAAAUUGAAAAGCGGCAUGCUUUAGUACAAUAACGAUUGGAUCAAAUACCCCUUAUAAACCCCAACGUAAUUCUAAUUAAACACUUGCUUUGAAAGAAAACAUAUCAAUAAUUAUACUUGUAACCCGAAGACCCAGAACUACCUUCCCUAUUCUAGCUGAUGAUACACUGCAAAUUUCGUCAAGACCAGAAAGAGAUCAACAUAGAUCAUAAACUGUUCAAAUUUCAAAAAGGGAGCAAAGAAGAUCGAAAUUCAGAUUCACAAUAUAAAAAACGAGAUAAAAAAACUUGGGAGAAGUAAGCAAUCAUGGAAAAAUAUAACCCCCUUGUAGCCUCACACACAGAGCACCACCUUCAAUCUAAGAUCCAAUUCCAAAACACAUGCAGAUCAAUAAACCAAACAGUUAAAAGUAAAAGGUAGGAAGCAAAAAUACUUAUCAAAGUUAAAGACACAUUCGAGUGAACCCAACGGUUCUUAAGUAAACCUGUUCCUAAAUGUCACACUUUACUUGGCAUGACUUUAAUACAGAUACAGAGAAGUCAUGAAAAGGUUAAAGCUCUUCCCUUUUUCUAUUUUCCUUUUGCUGAUUGGUUUGAUCCGAAUUGAGAUAUUGUUCGGAAUCAUUGAUAAGUACUAUCAAAAACGGGUUUACAGACUGUGGCUUGGGGAAACAAAUUCAAACAAAUAGGAACUUCUCACUAAGUUUGAAGCACAAUUCUAAAGCACGAAAACCAAUCUUCUAAAACUCUAAUGGAUCAGUUAAAAACUGUAAACAUGACUUGAGAGCCAAAAACCCAAACUAAGUGUAAACUUCAAAAAUUCAUUUCUCACCUGAAAUUGAACAAACAGGAGAAAAAGCGGUCUCAAUCCAAAAUUCGAUACCCAUAUCUCAAAUUGCCAAUAAGUCGAAAACACAUAACCAAAUUUCAAAUUUACCAAGAAAAAGAAAACCAAAUGAUAACACAAAACCAAAACCGAAAUCAAACUAAGAAUUACAGACUGCUAUGCCAAUCCACCGGACAAGAACAGAAAAAGCAUUACACUUUAAUAAGAGGAAAGGAGAUCAAACAGGAAAGGACAUCAAAGCAAUUGAGCUAGUAAUUACGUUCACCAUCUUUAGUUUCCUAACCAGUCCAGUUAUCUCUGCAAUUUGUAUUCUGGUGGCACUCGAAAGCAAAAAAAGAAGAAAGAAAGCAAAAAUAUCAUAUUGAUACUCAGAUUAAGCAAAAUGAAAAUUAAAUCAAGCAGAUGAAAGCAAGGUGCAAGACUACCGCACAGACAAAACCUGAAUCAGCUCAAAUCAAGGAAACAGAUAACCCAGUCAAAAAUAACAAUGUGCAUCACAUUCUUCAUCAGAUAAACAUGCUGUUAUGUUUGAAAAGAUAGUGACUGACGAAGAUCAAAGCAAUUGACCUAGUACUUACAUUCACCAUCUUCAGUUUCCAGCCAGGUCCAGUUAUCUCUCCAAUUUAGUAUUCAGGUGGGACUCGAUAGCAAAAAGAAGAAAGAAAGAAACGAAAAUCAGAUUGAAACUCAGAAAGAAAGAAAUACAGUUUUCUUAUUUGAGUAUAUUGCAUGUAAACUGUAACUUUACCUCAUAAACUGCUAAAAAAUGAAAAUCAGAUCAGCAAGCGAUAUACUGGAAUCCAUCAUUGAGGUCCUAGACAGCAGAACAGACAAACGCCGAAUGGGAACGGUUAUCCUUCUUCAAAUGAUAAGCUCAAUCUCAAACAGUAUAAAAACCACACAAAAAGGGAAUCAAAAAAUUUGAAAAUACAAAAGCACUCAACUUAUCUAUUCGAUCUGAGCAGAGGAUUGAGAAACUUCCCAAAUCUAUAGUCCCACGAAUCCAUCUUGGGGAAAAUUUAUAUUGCACUCUUUGCAUUCAAACACCAAAUUUGAUGCCAUAAAAAAAAAUUCAAAUGAAAACACAUUAAAAAUUCAAAUGCAAACGCAAAAGCCAAUAAAGUCAAGCAUAACAACAUCAAGAAUAUAUAUACCAGAGAAACCAACAAACUGGAUCCCGCCCAAAAUAAACCAAACUCGACCAGGCACAUGUUAACAAAUCCUCUAUAGAUUUUCACUCAAUGAUAUCUCAUUGGCUCUANNNNNNNNNNNNNNNNNNNNUCUACAGUUUUCUUUAUUUGAGUUUAUUGCAUGUAACCAGUUCUGUUUCCAUAAAAAAAAAUUACACUGACCAGUGCACCUUAGAUUUCUUUACACGUGCAGUGAUUGGAUGAUACAUCUCCGAUUUGACAGGAUCAAGUGCUGGCUGUGACAUUUCAAGUCCCUCAUCCUGAAUAAUUGAUAGAUAUCUGCAUGAAAUCAACAUCUUUAAAAUGCAAUCCAAUAUGUAUUUAUACCAAAUUAAAAAAAAAAUUAUCCCAUAGGUGUUUAUGGUUUUAUGCCUUGAAAAAACAACCUACCACCUGAUAGAACUAUAUUUGUUUUCAUUUUAUUUAGGAGAUAAAGGGUGAUGCCCUCAGGUUGUAGUGCAACAUGCAUCUAAGGAAAUCCAAAGUUAUAAGUAUUUUUUUUUAUUCGAGGGGAAGGAGUCAAGCUCCGAUUAUAUUAAUAACGUCACCACGUCAUAGCUAGCCAUAUCGUAUGUUUUUAAACAUAUUUGAUCAAUAAAAUGUCUCACCUUCUCAUGAAAAAAGAAAACAAAAAAAAACGAAAAAAAAAAGACAAAAAAAAAAAGAAGGGCGAUGGGGAAAUUUACUUUAUUUUCUGUAACUCGCACUCACACUCCCACUCAAGCAUGAAAGCAGGCAUAAAUAAUGUGAAAUAUAACAGUGCUUCGUUAGGGAUGCUACGAUCAUUCUCAACAGUGACCUGAUUAUGCUUACCGUUCAGGAUCAAAAUUCUCAACUCCAAGUUCCUCAUCCCAGAGAAAAAUAUGUUUAUAUUCAGUCACUAUAUAUGGAUGCAUGAAACGUUUUGCGAACCACCUAUAUCAUCAAACAGCAUUUGUUUCAUUAUAAAACAAAAUAGAUUGUUCCCAUGCAAUAAUUGCCAACUUAUUCCUACCUUGCUCCAUAUCUAAGCAACUAAGUGAACCAAUUAAUGUACCAUUUUGUUUGGUUCAUCAGACACAUGAAUGGCAGGAUCACUCCAAUGUAAAUCCCUCCACCUAUCCACAGCACCAUCAUAAUGGAAAAGCAUUACCACAAAGUCACUUGAAUAAAAACUACAAUAAAAAAAAACAGAUAUUUAACACAAAGAUGGAAAUAUAGUUCUCAAGUAGAAGGUCAUAAACCAAGAAAGUCGAGGCAAUUACCUUCCGAACAAUUUUGUCCACUAUUCCUUUCUGUUUUACUCCAACUGCAAUGGCCAGCAAGCUCUUUGAAGGCGUUGAGUUUUUCUGUCACAAAAAAUUGCAAUUCAGAGGCAGUCAACCCCAGCAUUCACAAUACAAGAGAGCAAUAGGGAACUUUAUAUACAUGCAGCAAUAGAGAACUUUUUAUACAUGCACAACAUAAUAAAGUCACCAAGAAAUCUAAAUGUGCAGUAAACUAAAAGAUGUAAGCUUGCUCAACCAUUAUACAAGGUCUAAAAGAGUUUGGGCCGUAGCAAUAAAACAUAUGUUCUAAAUUGCAGUUGAACAUCACAAUUGCAGUUGCAAGUUAACCACUAGCAUAAUUUCCAUGUUCCACAUAUUUGGGGCUAGAAAAUGAAUUGUGUUUCGUAAUUUGCAAUCAAGAUGAUUCCCAAAGGAAAACAACUAUAGCUCAAGCAGAAAUCUGAGGCUAUUAAAUUAGAGAUGACAACAACUUCACAACAUGAAUCUGAAUAUAUCCUACAGACACAAUCAGUUGAAACAGAACGCAACAGUCCAUUACAUAUGACAAGACCUUUAAAUGUAUAUAUUUAAGGACACAGCUGACCUGAAGCAAUUGAGCUAGUAAUUACAUUCACCAUCUUUAGUUUCCACCCAUGUCCAGUUAUCACUGCAAUUUUGUAUUCUGGUGGGCACUCGAAAGCAAAAAGAUGAUACUCAUAUUGAUACUCAGAUUAAGCAAACAUGAAAAUUAAAUCAAGCAGAUGAAAGCAAAGUUUCUUCUUUGAGGCCACUAUAUAAUCGAUACAGUUUUCUUUAUUCAAGCACAUUGCACGUAAAGUUUGAAACUUUACCUUAAAAACUGCUUAGCUAUAUAUACUGGAAUUCGGUGGAAUCAAUCACUGAGGAGCUAGACUGCCGCACAGACAAAACCCGAAUCAGCUCAAAUCAAGGAAACAGAAAACCAGUGAAAAAUAACAAUGUGCAUCACAUUCUUCAUCAGAUAAAACAUGCUGUGAUGUUUGAAAAGAUAGCGACUGCCGAAGAUCAAAGCAAUUGACCUAGUACUUACAUAGUUACAUUCACCAUCUUCAGUUUCCAGCCAGGUCCAGUAAUCUUUCCAAUUUAGUAUUCGGGUGGCACUCGAUAGCAAAAAGAAGAAAGAAAGAAACGAACAUCAGAUUGAAACUAAAAAGAAAGAAAUACAGUUUUCUUUAUUUGAGUAUAUUGCAUGUAAACUGUAACUUUACCUGAUAAACUGCUAAAAAAUGAAAAUCAAAUCAGCAACCGAUAUACUAGAAUCCAUCAUUGAGGUCCUAGACAACAGAACAGACAACGCAGAAUCAGCUCAAAUCAGCUAACGGGAACGGUUAUCCUUCUUGAAAUGAUAAGCUCAAUCUCAAACAGUAUAAAAACCACACAAAAACGGAAUGAAAAAAUUUGAAAAUACAAAAGCACUCAACUUAUCUAUUCGAUCUGAGGAGAGGAUUGGGAAACUUCCCAAAUCUAGUCCCACGAAUCCAUCUUCGGGAAAAUUUAUAUUGCACU
RNAcentral lists this long non-coding RNA (39584 nucleotides) under Fragaria vesca (wild strawberry). Its description in RNAcentral is "long non-coding RNA (FVES_LNC002449)". The record is from RNAcentral. Lineage: Eukaryota; Viridiplantae; Streptophyta; Magnoliopsida; Rosales; Rosaceae.